Molecule: ribosomal RNA, 447 nt
Filed under: uncultured bacterium
Lineage: Bacteria
Description: bacterial SSU rRNA
Rfam family: Bacterial small subunit ribosomal RNA
Source: RNAcentral
UGGGGAAUCUUGGACAAUGGGCGCAAGCCUGAUCCAGCCAUGCCGCGUGAGUGAAGAAGGCCUUCGGGUUGUAAAGCUCUUUUACCAGGGACGAUAAUGACGGUACCUGGAGAAUAAGCCCCGGCAAACUUCGUGCCAGCAGCCGCGGUAAUACGAAGGGGGCUAGCGUUGUUCGGAUUUACUGGGCGUAAAGCGCGUGUAGGCGGGUCGUUAAGUUGGGGGUGAAAUCCCGAGGCUCAACCUCGGAACUGCCUUCAAAACUGGCGACCUGGACUCAAGCAGAGGCAAGUGGAAUUGCGAGUGUAGAGGUGAAAUUCGUAGAUAUUCGCAGGAACACCAGUGGCGAAGGCGACUUGCUGGGCUUGUAGUGACGCUGAGACGCGAAAGCGUGGGGAGCAAACAGGAUUAGAUACCCCCGUAGUCCCUGAGCGGGCUGGCAAGGCGCAU